RNAcentral lists this long non-coding RNA (438 nucleotides) under Salmo salar (Atlantic salmon). RNAcentral describes it as "lncRNA (ENSSSAG00000105669.1)". Lineage: Eukaryota; Metazoa; Chordata; Actinopteri; Salmoniformes; Salmonidae. The record is from RNAcentral.
ACCUGGUUAAAUAAAGGAUAAAUAAAUAUAUAUAUAUAAUAACAGUGCAGUGAUAUUUUGACGUUGAGAGCUCUUUCCCAACAACGCAGUGAUUAUUAUACUAUACAUGAUGAUAGAAAAUAUAAUACAAAAUUAAAGGAAGAAUAAAAACCACACUAUUAUGUGACUUAAUGAAACAUGAGAAUGCAAGUAUAUACAGGUAAGUGUCAGUACUUUAUUCAAUGUCCAGGGGUACUGGAGUGGUUGUAUAUACAGGUCAGUAUCUUAUUCAAUGUCCAGGGGUCCUGGAGUGGUUGUAUAUACAGGUCAGUACCUUAUUCAAUGUUCAGGGGUCCUGGAGUUGUUGUAUAUACAGGUCAGUACCAGUACCUUAUUCAAUGUCCAGGGGUACUGGAGAAUUGAGGUGGGUUAAUACUUAAAAGUCAGGUCUCGUGUGGC